GAGGGUAUAGCUCAAGUGGUAGAGCACAUGCUUAGCAUGCACGAGGUCCUGGGUUCCAUCCCCAGGACCUCCU
Transfer RNA from Camelus ferus (Wild Bactrian camel), 73 nucleotides. It matches the Rfam family "tRNA". From Rfam's summary of the family: Transfer RNA (tRNA) molecules are approximately 80 nucleotides in length. Their secondary structure includes four short double-helical elements and three loops (D, anti-codon, and T loops). Further hydrogen bonds mediate the characteristic L-shaped molecular structure. tRNAs have two regions of fundamental functional importance: the anti-codon, which is responsible for specific mRNA codon recognition, and the 3' end, to which the tRNAs corresponding amino acid is attached (by aminoacyl-tRNA synthetases). tRNAs cope with the degeneracy of the genetic code in two manners: having more than one tRNA (with a specific anti-codon) for a particular amino acid; and 'wobble' base-pairing, i.e. permitting non-standard base-pairing at the 3rd anti-codon position. Lineage: Eukaryota; Metazoa; Chordata; Mammalia; Artiodactyla; Camelidae. The record is from Rfam.